GAUGAACGCUGGCGGCGUGCCUAAUACAUGCAAGUCGAGCGAACAGAUAAGGAGCUUGCUCCUUUGACGUUAGCGGCGGACGGGUGAGUAACACGUGGAUAACCUACCUAUAAGACUGGGAUAACUUCGGGAAACCGGAGCUAAUACCGGAUAAGAUUUUGAACCGCAUGGUUCUAUAGUGAAAGACGGCCUUGCUGUCACUUAUAGAUGGAUCCGCGCCGUAUUAGCUAGUUGGUAAGGUAACGGCUUACCAAGGCAACGAUACGUAGCCGACCUGAGAGGGUGAUCGGCCACACUGGAACUGAGACACGGUCCAGACUCCUACGGGAGGCAGCAGUAGGGAAUCUUCCGCAAUGGGCGAAAGCCUGACGGAGCAACGCCGCGUGAGUGAUGAAGGUCUUCGGAUCGUAAAACUCUGUUAUCAGGGAAGAACAAACGUGUAAGUAACUGUGCACGUCUUGACGGUACCUGAUCAGAAAGCCACGGCUAACUACGUG
This 497-nucleotide ribosomal RNA is filed under the name uncultured bacterium. RNAcentral's name for it is "partial 16S ribosomal RNA". It matches the Rfam family "Bacterial small subunit ribosomal RNA", at positions 28 to 507 of the family's 1533-position model. The record is from RNAcentral.